CCGGGGGGAACCAGGCAGACCCCACCUCAGGAGCCAGCCACCUGGGCAGGUGUCUCAGAAAUUUACAAGAAAAAGAUGAAGAACACCCAAUGGGAAAAUGAACAACACAUACAGACAGGUAACUCGCAAUGAAGGAAUGCAAAGGACCAAGAAUCCCAUGAAACAAAGCACAUCUCAUUCUUGAAUCCAUGGCUUCUCUGGAACAGACCUACUCCUACUUUUCUCCUCACCUUCCAUCUGGAGCUGAAGGACCUGUGUGACUUGACGCAGUCCUGCUGUGGAAGUUCCUCUUAGGAAGGAAGCUGGGCACUUGACAGGUUAGUUGAGCUGACUUUGUGCUGCCUGACCAGUAAGUGGGCCCUGCGAUGCAGCUCUGCAGCAAGAGGCAGAAUGCUCCAGGAAGGAGAAGAGGAGGGAGAACAACAACAAAACUCGACCGGGCCAUUCUGAUCCAGAAGAGAGCCAACAGAAAGUUUCAGAUUAAAUGGGAACUACAGCAAUAACCAACUUAUCCUAAAUUUCUGGAGAAGAAGGAGCUCUAAAUUAAUGCUUUUUUUUUUUUUUAAGAUUCUAUCCAUUUAUUCUUGAGACACAGAGAGAGAGAGAGGCAGAGACACAGGCAGAGGGAGAAGCAGGCUCCAUUCCAUGGAGGGAGCCCAACGUGGGACUCGAUCCCAGGUCUCCCAGGUCUCUAAGGAUCACACCCUGGGCCGAAGGUGGUGCUAAACCACUGAGCCACCCGGGCUUCCCAAUUAAUGCAUUUUUUAAGACAACUGAAGGCAAAUACUUUUUCCCCAAAAUGGAAACUUAUAAAAGCACUUUCAUCAUUGUUCCAUGCUGUAAUGGCCUUGUGUGCCUAGGAGUUUUUGAGGCAUGUAGGGCUAUUUGCCUUGGCACUAAAUGACCCCCAACUGAUGUGCUUUUCUAUUUGGAGACUUGUCUCUUUUUUGCUUCCAGCUACCACUUCUCAGUGUGUCAUCUCCCAGAAUCUCCCACUCUACUUGCUUGUCUUUAAACUCUGCAGAAAAGGUUAUCAAGGAAGCAAGAAGAUCAAUCUGCUAGAGUGGUAUCCAUCAAUUUCAUUUAACGCUAAGGCAAUAGAGUUGUCUUAGGAGUGCUUCUUCUUCUUUACCCUCUAUUUGUCAUCACUGCCAUCCACCUGCCUAAAACAUACACACACACACACACCUUGUUGAAUACAAAGGCUCAGACUCUGCCCUUUCCUUCAUCCCAAUCCUUGCCAUUACUGCCCUUAGGCACAACCCAUCAGGAUUUCUAUCCUGGGCCCAAUCUUCUAGAGGAUCCUGGUCUGGCCUUCCUAUAACUAUGUUACUUCCCAGGGGAGCAAGGAAUCCAUGGAGCUGAGAGUAGAGUCCCAUAGGGAACACAUGCCUCCUCUUUCAAGAACCAUGUUCUGGGUACCUAGGACCCUGGGAGUCCCUGCCCAGGUAGCCCUGAGCCCCCUUCCAGGGCCUCUUGCAUGGAUCUGGAAAGGUCUAGAGGGUGGACAGUGCUACUGGCAUGUGCACUCUUAAGAGUAGCCAAGUCACUGGUGGUUGAAGGGGUGAGGGCAGAGCUUGGAUGUGCAGGCUGAGGUCGCACAGGUGGAAGAGUAAGCCCUCUUACUCGAAAUGGAACAGAGCUGGGGUUGGGAGAGAAGAGGGGCACUUCUAUCUGUACUCCUGUCAAAGCUGCACAAAUUGUUGGGGUGAACUGAAUCCCUGCUUGAUUCUAGGACUUUCCAAUGGCUUUGUGGAUAGCCCAUCUAAAACACUUCUAGCUUUGUGGGUUCUUGGCUCCCUCAAUUCCAAGUACCUUUACCUGCACUCCAAAUCUUAACAUUUCCCUGAACUUUGCAAGUACUCCAAAAGUUGCUAAAGCACGUCAACUAUAAUUUGCUGACUCUGGACAUUCCCCUCCCAGCCUCUGCUAGAAAACCCAGGCCUCCAUUCCUUUCAAAAUCUGAAUUCUCUUUCUUUCCCAUUCCUGCAAUGCUAUCCUUUAGAGAAAUCAGCUGCUCCCUGGAUAUCAAUAAAAUUGAUUUCCAAUUUUAGUUCUUUGGUGAGCCUAGAGAAUUUUGAGAACACCAAAAUCUUCUCUAAGGAAUAUCUACAAGGCAGAUUAUCUUCUCUACCUUAAAAAAAAUAAAAUACACAAAACUCUGAGAGUGAGCAGCAUUGAAGUGAGAGAGAAAUACUUUUCACAUCUCAACAGAUCAGACACUUCUUUGAAAAGGCACCCAGACACCCAUGGGCUCUCCCUGGCUCAGAGAGUUGCUACCUAUUGUUCAGUCUCUUUGGGGACACCCUCUUCCAUUUCUUGACUCUGUAUCUUGCCUCCUUCCAUCACCUAGAGCACUUCUUCCCUUGAGUGUCAUGUUAUUCUCUUGUCAGGCCUCUGUUCUUUUUUUAAAUAUUCCUAUUUUAUUUGUUUUUUAUUUUUAUUUUUUUAAGAUUUUAUUUAUUUAUUCAUAGACACAGAGAGAGAGGGGCAGAGACAGAC
Long non-coding RNA from Canis lupus familiaris (dog), 2502 nucleotides. RefSeq lists it as uncharacterized. The transcript is spliced from 4 exons. NCBI's taxonomy places the organism in Eukaryota, Metazoa, Chordata, Mammalia, Carnivora, Canidae. The record is from RefSeq and is a predicted model, not a curated record.